GAUGAACGCUGGCGGCGUGCCUAAUACAUGCGAGUCGAGCGAACAGACGAGGAGCUUGCUCCUCUGACGUUAGCGGCGGUCGGGUGAGUAACACGUGGAUAACCUACCUAUAAGACUGGGAUAAAUUCGGGAAACCGGAGAUAAUACCGGAUAAUAUAUUGAACCGCAUGGUUCAAUAGUGAAAGACGGUUUUGCUGUUACUUAUAGAUGGAUCCGCGCCGCAUUAGCUGGUUGGUAAGGUAGCGGCUUACCAAGGGAACGAUGCGUAGCCGACCGGAGAGGGGGACCGCCCACAUGGGAAUGGAGACACGGCCCAAACUCCUAGGGAGGGCACCGGAGGGGAAUCUUCCGCAUGGGCGGAAGUCUGAACGAGGCACGCCCGCGGGAUGGAGGAAGGUCUUCGGUUCGUAAGACCCUGUGAUUAGGGAAAAACAAUUGUGGAAGUAACUAUGCACAUCUUGACGGUACCUAAUCAGAAAGCGACGGCUAACUACGUG
This 497-nucleotide ribosomal RNA is filed under the name uncultured bacterium. RNAcentral describes it as "partial 16S ribosomal RNA". It matches the Rfam family "Bacterial small subunit ribosomal RNA", at positions 28 to 507 of the family's 1533-position model. The record is from RNAcentral.